UGAAUACGAGAUGCUACGGCGUCGAAGCAGUCUAUGUCAUACUUCCAAGAAAAGCUUGCACUGUCAUAAACAAAUAAUGCCUGUACCAUAACCGACACAGGUGGGUAGGUAGAGUAUACUAAGGGGCGCGAGAUAACUCUCUCUAAGGAACUCGGCAAAAUGACUCCGUAACUUCGGGAGAAGGAGUGCCUUAUUUAUAAGGUUGCAAUAACAAGAUCCAAGCAACUGUUUACCAAAAACACAGGUCUCCGCUAAGUCGUAAGACGAUGUAUGGGGGCUGACGCCUGCCCAGUGCCAGAAGGUUAAAGAAGUUGGUUAGCAUCCGCGAAGCUGAUAACUGAAGCCCUGGUGAACGGCGGCCGUAACGAUAACGGUCCUAAGGUAGCGAAAUUCCUUGUCGGGUAAGUUCCGACCCGCACGAAAGGCGUAAUGAUUUGGAUACUGUCUCGGAGAGGGGCUCGGUGAAAUAGACUUGUCUGUGAAGAUGCGGACUACCUGCACCAGGACAGAAAGACCCUAUGAAGCUUUACUGUAACCUGAAAUUGAAAUUGGACUUUACUUGCGCAGUAUAGGUGGGAGGCGUUGAGAAUAUUCUUGCGGGAUUAUUGGAGCCAUCAGUGAGAUACCACUCUUGUAAUGUUAGAUUUCUAACUUUGUAUCAUUAUCUGGUCAAAGAACAGUUUCAGGCGGGCAGUUUGACUGGGGCGGUCGCCUCCUAAACGGUAACGGAGGCGCACAAAGGUUUCCUCUGAACGGGUAGAAAUCGUAUCUAGAGUGUAAAGGCAUAAGGAAGCUUGACUGUGAGACCUACAAGUCGAGCAGGGACGAAAGUCGGUCUUAGUGAUCUGACGGUGCUGAGUGGAAAGGCCGUCACUCAACGGAUAAAAGUUACUCUAAGGAUAACAGGCUGAUCUCCCCCAAGAGUUCACAUCGACGGGGAGGUUUGGCACCUCGAUGUCGGCUCAUCGCAUCCUGGGGCGGUAGUACGUCCCAAGGGUUGGGCUGUUCGCCCAUGAAAGCGGUACGCGAGCUGGGUUCAGAACGUCGUGAGACAGUUCGGUCCAUAUCCGGUGUAGGCGUUAGAAUAUUGAGAGGAGCCUUCUUUAGUACGAGAGGACCGAGAAGGACAUACCUCUGGUGUACCAGUUAUCGUGCCAACGGUAAACGCUGGGUAGCUAUGUGUGGAGUGGAUAACCGCUGAAAGCAUCUAAGUGGGAAGCCCACCUCAAGAUAAGUAUUCCC
Molecule: ribosomal RNA, 1242 nt
Filed under: metagenome
Description: bacterial LSU rRNA
Rfam family: Bacterial large subunit ribosomal RNA
Source: RNAcentral